GGUGAAGAACGCAGCGAAAUGCGAUAAGUAAUGUGAAUUGCAGAAUUCAGUGAAUCAUCGAAUCUUUGAACGCACAUUGCGCCCGCCAGUAUUCUGGCGGGCAUGCCUGUUCGAGCGUCAUUACAACCCUCAGGCCCCCGGGCCUGGCGUUGGGGAUCGGCGGAGCCCCCCGUGGGCACACGCCGUCCCCCAAAUACAGUGGCGGUCCCGCCGCAGCUUCCAUCGCGUAGUAGCUAACACCUCGCGACUGGAGAGCGGCGCGGCCACGCCGUAAAACACCCAACUCUUCUGAAGUUGACCUCGAAUCAGGUAGGAAUACCCGCUGAACUUAAGCAUAUCAAUAAGCGGAGGA
This 352-nucleotide unclassified non-coding RNA is filed under the name soil metagenome. RNAcentral's name for it is "partial contains 5.8S ribosomal RNA, internal transcribed spacer 2, and large subunit ribosomal RNA". The stretch from base 3 to 120 matches the Rfam family "5.8S ribosomal RNA", at positions 37 to 154 of the family's 154-position model. The record is from RNAcentral.